AUCGAAAAAAUAAAAGAUCAAUUACAAACCUUUCUUAUCCAUGUAAGGAGAAUUGAGGAGUUCAGAGUUUGUCAAGAUUUUGCAAGCCUAGCACUAAAAAUGGUUGAGCUCAACAGACAUAUGAUGUUCUCAUUGGUUUAUCGUCUAAUUGAGUUGGCAUUGCUACUACCAGUAGCGACCGCAUCGGUUGAAAGGGCUUUUUCAGCCAUGAAGAUAAUUAAAAUUGAGUUGCGGAACAAGAUGUCUGAUGGUUGGCUUAAUGACUUAAUGAUUGUGUAUAUUGAGAGGGAGAUAUUUAAAGGAAUUGAUCUUCAAUCUAUCAAAAAGGCAUUUCAAGUGAAGAAAGAUAGGAAUAUGAAAUUGCCGAAGCAUCCUAAACGCAACCGGACUGAACGCAACUAAUAAAUUUAUCGCUUAUUUUGGUCCCGUUGUUGAUUUGAUGUGUAAUCUACAUGUUUUUCUUCAUUUAAGAUACUUCUAAACGAUGGUCUUGUUGUGAACUUUUAUUUCCGUACAAUAUAUGAAUGUAGUCUAGAAAUGCACCG
This is a long non-coding RNA of Panicum virgatum (switchgrass), 545 nucleotides long. RefSeq lists it as uncharacterized. Lineage: Eukaryota; Viridiplantae; Streptophyta; Magnoliopsida; Poales; Poaceae. The transcript is spliced from 2 exons. The record is from RefSeq and is a predicted model, not a curated record.